CAGAUUGAACGCGGGCGGCGUGCCUAACACAUGCAAGUCGAGCGGUAACAGGUGUAGCAAUACAUGCUGACGAGCGGCGAACGGGUGAGUAAUGCUUUGGAAUCUUCCCAGUAGUGGGGAAUAACCAGUCGAAAGAUUGGCUAAUACCGCAUACGUCCGAGAGGGGAAAGCCGGGGAUCGUAAGACCUGGCGCUAUUGGAUGAGCCAAAGUCGGAUUAGCUAGUUGGUGAGGUAAUGGCUCACCAAGGCGACAAUCCGUAGCUGGUCUGAGAGGACGACCAGCCACACCGGAACUGAGACACGGUCCGGACUCCUACGGGAGGCAGCAGUGGGGAAUAUUGGACAAUGGGGGAAACCCUGAUCCAGCGACGCCGCGUGUGUGAAGAAGGCCUGCGGGUUGUAAAGCACUUUUAGUGGGGACAAAAAGUCACGGGCUAAUACCUUGUGAUCUUGAUUUAACCUACAGAAAAAGCACCGGCUAACUCUGUGCCAGCAGCCGCGGUAAUACAGAGGGUGCGAGCGUUAAUCGGAAUUACUGGGCGUAAAGCGCGCGUAGACGGUUUUGUAAGUCGGAUGUGAAAUCCCCGGGCUCAACCUGGGAACUGCAUUCGAUACUGCUUGGCUAGAGUACGGUAGAGGGAAGCGGAAUUUCCGGUGUAGCGGUGAAAUGCGUAGAUAUCGGAAGGAACACCAGUGGCGAAAGCGGCUUCCUGGACCAGUACUGACGUUCAUGUGCGAAAGCGUGGGGAGCAAACAGGAUUAGAUACCCUGGUAGUCCACGCCAUAAACGAUGACAACUAGAUGUUGGGAGGGUCUGCCUCUCGGUGUCGCAGCUAACGCGUUAAGUUGUCCGCCUGGGGAG
Molecule: ribosomal RNA, 862 nt
Filed under: uncultured bacterium
Lineage: Bacteria
Description: bacterial SSU rRNA
Rfam family: Bacterial small subunit ribosomal RNA
Source: RNAcentral